This 4035-nucleotide long non-coding RNA is filed under the name Haliotis rubra (blacklip abalone). Its description in RNAcentral is "uncharacterized LOC124292499". Lineage: Eukaryota; Metazoa; Mollusca; Gastropoda; Lepetellida; Haliotidae. The record is from RNAcentral.
UGACCACCUGAUCCCGUUAGUCGCUUCUUACGACAAGCAUGGGUUACUGAAGAUCAAUAUUCUAACCCGGACCUUCACGGGUAAAACAUAAAAGAUAAUUGUUUUCUGUUUCUGUAUUUCAGUGAAUUGUCACAUUGCAAACAAAACUAAGUAUGUUUCGUUAUAAAAUUAAUAAAGAGAAUGAUUAAAAAAUGAGUUUUAUUAGUGGAAAUGUAUUGUGAGUGGUGCUUAAGUUUUUUUCGAUGUGUAUAUUUGCUGUCAUGUUUCCAUCAGUCGCUGACGUUACAGUUGUAAAUAUCUGUGAGACUGUGUAUACAACUUACAUGUAGACUCAUAAUGACUGACAUUCUGUAUCACUCAUGUUGUGGAAUGUUGGCAGCAAAACCAUCCGUCAUUGGACAAAAUUGACGAAGUUUGAAUUUUAUUUUAUUUGCUUGUGCAUUUUUAUUUGAGUGCAGUUUUAUUUUCAUAUGUUCAGACUACUCUUGUGAAACAAUAUUGUGUCAAGUAACUUGGACACUAUGUAUAAGGAUAGAAUAAUGUAAGAGAAUAUUUGGAUAUAAUGAAAUAAGAAUAUCAUAGUGUUAACUUUUUUGGUAACCAGGGUACUUCGGGAUUCUGCAGCCAGAAUUUGUUACAGAUUUAUCCCCAUUCUUUAACCUGUUGACUGUUUUCUGCUGAAGUAGAUAUCAACAUAAUGGCUGGGAGAAGGUUUAAGAUGAUAGAUGCAUACUUCUGUGGAAACCAGCUGGAAAGGAAGAACCAUGUGUGUUAAAAUCAAAGGGUAUAUGUUUGGUUCAGAUGGUCUGUAAGACCUACCAGGAACUUCGGAAUUACUGUCAUACAAGUUUAAUUAAUUUUGUAGUAUUAACAAAAUAGAGAAAUGUCAUUGUAUUUAAUGUUUUGUUUUUAAAUGAACACCCAUGCCUGUAGUCCAGUGGUUGAGGAUGGGCCUAUCUCCUAAUUGAUAUGGUUAUUUCCAGCAGUACCUGAGGUAGCAGAACAAAAUGAUGCAUAUGUCUAUUGUUUUGUCAUUCUCUUGAGUAUAAUGCAAGACACAUGUCUAAUCUUUCCUGCAAUGUGUCAUUAUCUGAGUACGACACAAGACAUAUAUAUGUACCCUUACCUGCGAGGUGUCAUUAUCUGAGUAAUGGAAGGCACAUGUCUACUCUUACCUGCGAGGUGUCAUUAUCUGAGUAAUGGAAGGCACAUGUCUACUCUUACCUGCGAGGUGUCAUUAUCUGAGUAAUGGAAGGCACAUGUCUACUCUUACCUGUGAGGUGUCAUUAUCUGAGUAAUGGAAGGCACAUGUCUACUCUUACCUGCGAGGUGUCAUUAUCUGAGUAAUGGAAGGCACAUGUCUACUCUUACCUGCGAGGUGUCAUUAUCUGAGUAAUGGAAGGCACAUGUCUACUCUUACCUGUGAGGUGUCAUUAUCUGAGUAAUGGAAGGCACAUGUCUACUCUUACCUGUGAGGUGUCAUUAUCUGAGUAAUGGAAGGCACAUGUCUACUCUUACCUGCGAGGUGUCAUUAUCUGAGUAAUGGAAGGCACAUGUCUACUCUUACCUGUGAGGUGUCAUUAUCUGAGUAAUGGAAGGCACAUGUCUACUCUUACCUGCGAGGUGUCAUUAUCUGAGUAAUGGAAGGCACAUGUCUACUCUUACCUGCGAGGUGUCAUUAUCUGAGUAAUGGAAGGCACAUGUCUACUCUUACCUGUGAGGUGUCAUUAUCUGUCUAUGACACAGUCAUGUCUACUGUUGCCUACUAUUACCACCUAUACCAUGACACACUAUUGUCAAUCAUCGGAAAUAGCAUUAGGAUUGAUGUGUACAAUUAUUGUCUUGAUCAUGCACAUUACUUAACAAACAUGUGCAAUAUAAGACUUGGUGCAUUUGAUAUCUGUAGCAUUUUGGUAUAUGUAUAUGUAGGUACAUUGUAUUGAUUACCUUUGACUGAUAAACAUCUUUGGUCCUAUGUUGUGUAUACUUGAGAACAGAAUGUUAUUGGAUUGAUGAUAAAAGUUACUUAAAUUAAGUUGGAUGAAGGAAUGUUUGUUGAAGGCUGUAGAUCAUAGAUGGUUAGAUUCUAAACUGAAAUAUACAUUAAGUGUAAUUUUUCAGAUUGACAAGGGACCAAUCAGACACAUGUUGAUGGGAAUAUGUAUGUUAAUAUUAAUAUAUCAUGAGUUAUUAUCAUUUUCAUGAUUAGAUAUUGAGAGUUGAUUACAAAUUUGAAGCAUGAAUGUUGUUUAUUUCUGAAUAUGUUGCUUUGUUUAGUUUAGUAUAUUAUUUUCCAUGACCUGUUCACUAAUACUAGUUUCUUGUAUGAAAACACCUGCAAACAAUUCUAGUAACUUUUUUAUAUGAACUCCUUAAUGUCCAUCAGUGUAAAGAAAUACAUAUACAUUUAUUCAUGUUUGUUACUAUGAAAUGAUUUAUUUGAUUGUAUGUUUGAUGACCCCUAAAUGGCUUCUGAUAUGUGGAAAUGUGUGUUAUGUUGAAAAUCACCUUGAUUUGAUUUCACCAUGUUUCACCUUCGUGAAGAAAACCUGUUGAAAUGUUUAUGUAAUUUGACUGAUAUGUUUAUUACUGCAUAUAUACUGAAGGAAACAAUUAAGGGAACACCACUUUAUGGCAGUAUUCCUUUAUUUAUUCUCAGAUUUCCUCUCACAAUGCUAUUCAAAGCUGGUGAUGAAAACUGGAAAAUAUUAAAGGAUCACUUGAAUUUUCAUGUGUUCCUCUAUUUGUUUCUCUCAGUAUAUUAUCACCUAAUUGUAACAUCAUCGGUUACAUUUAUACAUGCUUUACUCAACUUCCUACUAUUGAUGAUCAUCAUAUUGCAUGAUCCAUACAUGUACAGGAAUAGGUGCCAGGUUUCCAAGGAAUACUGUUUUGUCAGGAAUAGCUGACACAGUCAACAGAAUGGUAGACACACAUGCGAUGAUAGUCAUCCUCUUGAUACAGGGAAACCAGUAUUCUCUGGGAUGGAUUGCCUAGGUUUUAUUUGUUCUGGUAUAAGCUGAAUAAAUCAUUUGAACCUCAGGUUUGAUGGAAAAAAAGAAAAGAAAAAGGUUUUGGGUAUGCAGGAUGUCUUGAAACGAACUUAUUCAGUUUCUUUCUGGAAAAGAAAUGUCUUAAAGUAACUACUCUACAACAGAAUAUGAAACUCUUUAAGAGGUUGGCCCCAUGGUCAUAUGUGUUCUAUGAAAAUUGUGAAUGAUAUCAGAUAGAUGUGUUGGUUAUGUUUAGAAUAGAACAAAUCAACGAUUAUUGUCAUUCCCAACUGAGACAUUGUAUUUCCAUACUUAUGGAAUAGAGUCAUCAGAUUGAUUGUUUAUAUUCACCUUAAAGUUUCAGAAUUUGCUGAUGCAGAGUAACAAGUACUUCUCCUCUCUGUCUUACUCCACAAUGAUUUGGGAGCUGGUUAAGUCCAUGCUGUUUGACUGCUGAAGUCUGUAUCACUGACUUUCAUUGUAAGAUGUAUAAUGUUUUAACAGUAAAUCUGACUGGUGAUUGUAUUCAUGAUAUUUAAUGAUAUCGACUCAGUCAAGCCAAUAAUGCCUUGAAAUGUUUUUGGUAAUGUUUCCUAUUUUUGUUUCACAAAAUGAAAAACUGGUCAGUUAUGAAAAAGAAGAAUCAUUGAGAGUUGUCUCCCUUUGAAAUUCUGACGUCUGCUAUUUUUAUCAUGGGCGGCCAUUAAAGAGCUGGAGACUGGCUCAGUAAAGAUUGAGACUUCAGUGUUACAACAGAGAGGGAAAACAUUUAGCAUUUAGGGUGAAACUUUGAAGAACACAAUCUUCUGACCAAUUACUGAGUUCAUAAUUUAUCUGAAAUCUCUUUUUAAGAGUGAUCACCAUUGGAGGAAUAUGGAAGAAAGGAAAUGGUUUUAUAUGGCAGUGGGUGUAGAUUUCUACAGGGCCACAUUUUUCCUACACAUUUCUAUGUUUACAUCCUGUUGUGUUGUGUGUAGACAUGCCUGAUCAGUGUUAUAUAAAUGCAGAUUGAUCAUCCGAUGUGAAGGAAAUCAAAGGUGAA